UAGGGAAUCUUCGGCAAUGGGGGCAACCCUGACCGAGCAACGCCGCGUGAGUGAAGAAGGUUUUCGGAUCGUAAAGCUCUGUUGUAAGAGAAGAACGUGUGUGAGAGUGGAAAGUUCACACAGUGACGGUAACUUACCAGAAAGGGACGGCUAACUACGUGCCAGCAGCCGCGGUAAUACGUAGGUCCCGAGCGUUGUCCGGAUUUAUUGGGCGUAAAGCGAGCGCAGGCGGUUUAAUAAGUCUGAAGUUAAAGGCAGUGGCUUAACCAUUGUUCGCUUUGGGAACUGUUAAACUGGAGUGCAGAAGGGGAGAGUGGAAUUCCAUGUGUAGCGGUGAAAUGCGUAGAUAUAUGGAGGAACACCGGUGGCGAAAGCGGCUCUCUAGUCUGUAACUGACGCUGAGGCUCGAAAGCGUGGGGAGCAAACAGG
RNAcentral lists this ribosomal RNA (429 nucleotides) under bacterium. RNAcentral's name for it is "partial 16S ribosomal RNA". It matches the Rfam family "Bacterial small subunit ribosomal RNA", at positions 355 to 776 of the family's 1533-position model. The record is from RNAcentral.